RNAcentral lists this ribosomal RNA (468 nucleotides) under uncultured bacterium. RNAcentral's name for it is "partial 16S ribosomal RNA". It matches the Rfam family "Bacterial small subunit ribosomal RNA", at positions 28 to 507 of the family's 1533-position model. The record is from RNAcentral.
GACGAACGCUGGCGGCGUGCUUAACACAUGCAAGUCGAACGGAAAGGCCCUGCUUUUGUGGGGUGCUCGAGUGGCGAAAGGGUGAGUAACACGUGAGUAACCUGCCCUUGACUUUGGGAUAACUUCAGGAAACUGGGGCUAAUACCGGAUAGGAGCUCCUGCUGCAUGGUGGGGGUUGGAAAGUUUCGGCGGUUGGGGAUGGACUCGCGGCUUAUCAGCUUGUUGGUGGGGUAGUGGCUUACCAAGGCUUUGACGGGUAGCCGGCCUGAGAGGGUGGCCGGCCACAUUGGGACUGAGAUACGGCCCAGACUCCUACGGGAGGCAGCAGUGGGGAAUAUUGCACAAUGGGCGGAAGCCUGAUGCAGCAACGCCGCGUGCGGGAUGACGGCCUUCGGGUUGUAAACCGCUUUCGCCUGUGACGAAGCGUGAGUGACGGUAAUGGGUAAAGAAGCACCGGCUAACUACGUC